RNAcentral lists this ribosomal RNA (484 nucleotides) under uncultured bacterium. RNAcentral's name for it is "bacterial SSU rRNA". It matches the Rfam family "Bacterial small subunit ribosomal RNA", at positions 29 to 507 of the family's 1533-position model. The record is from RNAcentral.
AUGAACGCUAGCGGCAGGCUUAACACAUGCAAGUCGAGGGGCAGCAGGAGUAGCAAUACUUGCUGGCGACCGGCAAACGGGUGCGGAACACGUACGCAAUCUACCUUCAACUGGGGCAUAGCCCGAAGAAAUUCGGAUUAACACCCCAUAACAUAACUAACAGGCAUCUGUUUGGUUAUUAAAACUGAGGUGGUUGGAGAUGAGCGUGCGUCCCAUUAGAUAGUUGGUAGGGUAACGGCCUACCAAGUCGACGAUGGGUAGCUGAUGUGAGAGCAUGAUCAGCCACACGGGCACUGAGACACGGGCCCGACUCCUACGGGAGGCAGCAGUGAGGAAUAUUGGUCAAUGGACGCAAGUCUGAACCAGCCAUGCCGCGUGCAGGAUGAAGGCCUUCUGGGUUGUAAACUGCUUUUAUCAGGGAAGAAACCACAGAUUUCUAUUUGUGCCGACGGUACCUGAGGAAUAAGCACCGGCUAACUCCGUG